UCUCCGUAGGUGAACCUGCGGAGGGAUCAUUACAAGUGACCCCGGUCUAACCACCGGGAUGUUCAUAACCCUUUGUUGUCCGACUCUGUUGCCUCCGGGGCGACCCUGCCUUCGGGCGGGGGCUCCGGGUGGACACUUCAAACUCUUGCGUAACUUUGCAGUCUGAGUAAACUUAAUUAAUAAAUCAAAACUUUCAACAACGGAUCUCUUGGUUCUG
RNAcentral lists this unclassified non-coding RNA (217 nucleotides) under soil metagenome. Its description in RNAcentral is "partial contains small subunit ribosomal RNA, internal transcribed spacer 1, and 5.8S ribosomal RNA". The record is from RNAcentral.